RNAcentral lists this ribosomal RNA (560 nucleotides) under uncultured bacterium. RNAcentral describes it as "bacterial SSU rRNA". It matches the Rfam family "Bacterial small subunit ribosomal RNA", at positions 916 to 1475 of the family's 1533-position model. The record is from RNAcentral.
GGGGCCCGCACAAGCGGUGGAGCAUGUGGUUUAAUUCGAUGCAACGCGAAGAACCUUACCUACUCUUGACAUCCAGCGAAGCCUUUAGAGAUAGAGGCGUGCCUUCGGGAGCGCUGAGACAGGUGCUGCAUGGCUGUCGUCAGCUCGUGUUGUGAAAUGUUGGGUUAAGUCCCGCAACGAGCGCAACCCUUAUCCUUGUUUGCCAGCACAUAAUGGUGGGAACUCCAGGGAGACUGCCGGUGAUAAACCGGAGGAAGGUGGGGACGACGUCAAGUCAUCAUGGCCCGUACGAGUAGGGCUACACACGUGCUACCAGGGCAGAUACAGAGGGCAGCGAGACAGCGAAGUUUAGCGAAUCCCUUAAAGUUUGUCGUAGUCCGGAUUGGAGUCUGCAACUCGACUCCAUGAAGUCGGAAUCGCUAGUAAUCGUGGAUCAGAAUGCCACGGUGAAUACGUUCCCGGGCCUUGUACACACCGCCCGUCACACCAUGGGAGUGGGCUGCACCAGAAGUAGAUAGCUUAACCUUCGGGAGGGCGUUUACCACGGUGUGGUUCAUGAC